CUGCAAAGGAAACAGGCGCAGUCUGGGACCUGUGGGCGCACCCCUGCCCCCCACGCCGCCUCAGCCUGGGGUCUGCACGGAACAUGCUUAGGGCUGGUGGGCACGGUGCCUGCUGCUGUGUGGACUGCAGCACAGGGGCUGCCCGUAUUCUUCCUGAAGACUCCCCUGAGCCUCUCUGCCCCCGGUAGGGGUCAUGGCUGCUCCAGCUGGAAGCGCUACACGUGGGCACACGGACCAGACGGAAGGAGCUGCCAGCAAUAGCAAAGCUGAUCUAGCCCAGGUCCCUGACACUGAAGGUGGGGAUGCUGUGGGUCACACAGGACAGGGGCUGCCACAGUCCCAGCCCCCAGGCUGCCCCAGAAC
This 363-nucleotide long non-coding RNA is filed under the name Homo sapiens (human). Its description in RNAcentral is "HSALNT0355402". Lineage: Eukaryota; Metazoa; Chordata; Mammalia; Primates; Hominidae. The record is from RNAcentral.